CUUGAAGACUAUUAUUAAAUUAUCCUACUCUACUUAAAUAGUAGGCCUUUUGUUUCAAGUAGCCUGCACUAUAUCUUAAUAUCCAUUGAUGAUAUGUUAUUGAAAAUACCACGGGCUUAAUAUGAUGCUUAUAAAUUAAUUCAGAUAAAGGAGAUAAUAGUGUGAAGGAUUUCUAGCAGGAAAUGAGUUGCUUGUUUCACAUGGUUAGUAGCCUUUUAAUCUGUUUAACAUGAGGUAAUCUACAAUAAAAUGUUCCAGCUUAUGCAAUAGGAGUUGCAUGUACAGAGAAGAUCAGGAAGGAAACAAUCCACUGUCUUCUCACUUUUAGAAACUAUUGCUCUGUCGAAAUACUGAUAAUUAUAUGAAGUUAUAGCUUGAAACUAACUGAAGUUUCUAUGAAAUAUAUAUUAUGCAGGGAUUUCUGAAACAAGUCUAAUUAGCUUUGGAACUUGCUUCGAAAGAUAUUAGUAAUGAAAUGUGGCUCACAUUGCAUGGAAUAGUGACAGAAUAAAAAAGAAUUUCCCAUUUAAUGUUAUUUGACACACAUUUGAGCAGUUUGUCAGACUCCAUUUUGAAAUGGGAGUUCAUUACUUAAUCCUCUCUUUGGGGUCCAAUCUCAAAAUAGUGCAAAGGUUGUUGAUGUACUUCAGCUGAAGCUAUGAUAAAAUUGUUUAUUAUGAGUUUAAGUAAAGCAGGAUGAGUAUGUUCAACUGUGAAAUGCAAGAUCAAUAUUCAUUGUAUCAUUUGAGUUGAAUAUCUUGUAUUAUAUGAAGAUCAAAUAACUACCGGAAGAAUCAAUGAAGUUACAAUUAUGUAACAAAAAAAUAUGUUAAGAAAUUUCAGUGGAAGCUUGUGAUUUUUUUGCUUUAA
Solanum pennellii is the source of this 870-nucleotide long non-coding RNA. RefSeq lists it as uncharacterized. The record is from RefSeq and is a predicted model, not a curated record. The transcript has 2 exons. Lineage: Eukaryota; Viridiplantae; Streptophyta; Magnoliopsida; Solanales; Solanaceae.